This 491-nucleotide ribosomal RNA is filed under the name uncultured bacterium. RNAcentral's name for it is "partial 16S ribosomal RNA". It matches the Rfam family "Bacterial small subunit ribosomal RNA", at positions 29 to 506 of the family's 1533-position model. The record is from RNAcentral.
AUUGAACGCUGGCGGCAUGCUUUACACAUGCAAGUCGAACGGUAACAGGCCUUCGGGUGCUGACGAGUGGCGAACGGGGGAGUAAAGCACCGGAACGUACCCAGAGGAGGGGGAUAACGCAGCGAAAGCUGGGCUCAUACAGCAUGUGAGCUGAGGAUGAAAGCGGGGGAGCGAGCCGCAAUGUUUGGCCUCGCGCCUUUGGAGCGGCCGAUGUCGGAUUAGCUAGUUGGUGGGGUAACGGCCUACCAAGGCGACGAUCCGUAGCUGGUCUGAGAGGACGACCAGCCACACUGGAACUGAGACACGGCCCAGACUCCUACGGGAGGCAGCAGUGGGGAAUUUUGGACAAUGGGCGAAAGCCUGAUCCAGCCAUGCCGCGUGUGUGAAGAAGGCCUUCGGGUUGUAAACCGCUUUUGGCAGGAAGGAAGCGGUGUCAGCUAAUACCGUGCUCUAUUGACGUUACCAGCAGAAUAAGCACCGGCUAACUACGU